AGUAGUAGUUUGGCUCCGACAGGCGAAGUUGAGGUUGAAAGGGGGAGGGAAAAUUGAGGGUAAAUAAGGAGACUUUACCGUGGAUGGUAAAAAAUGGGGAGAGAUAAUUGUGCGGGCAGAGAGGCUAUAGUCCAUUAACAGAGAGCGAAAUCCCUAAAGAGAGAGAUAAGUGCUGCUGCUAAUAAUGUAAUGAGGUUCCCAGUGAAGUGGGCUGUGCCUCUGAUACAUAAGAUAUUGGAUAUGGAUAAGGGUUUAGACUAAGGCAAGAGAAAAAGUAGGACACUGGCAGAAAAUGUAGGGGCGGCCAGGGGGC
This 313-nucleotide unclassified non-coding RNA is filed under the name Hevea brasiliensis (rubber tree). The record is from RNAcentral. Lineage: Eukaryota; Viridiplantae; Streptophyta; Magnoliopsida; Malpighiales; Euphorbiaceae.